RNAcentral lists this unclassified non-coding RNA (77 nucleotides) under Sphingobium sp. YR657. RNAcentral describes it as "suhB". Lineage: Bacteria; Pseudomonadati; Pseudomonadota; Alphaproteobacteria; Sphingomonadales; Sphingobiaceae. The record is from RNAcentral.
GGCUCUAGGCCAUUUUGGCUGAUGAGACCUUUUCCUGACCCGGCAGUGAAAGCUGCCGGGUCAUUUUUUUGUUGCAA